CCGAGCGGUGGCCCCCCCCUUCCCGCUCCCGCUCUGGGGCCCCGCUCCGAGCGCCGCACUCGGCAAACAUACUCUCCGCGCUUUAGUUGCAUCUCUUGUUGGUAAGUACUGUAACCUGUGCUAGAUUUGAUCUAUAAAUCUAUGUAAACCCAACGCCAGGCUCGUCUGCCGUCAUUCCUUAACGAGCACGCGGGGGAGAAGGGCCCGGCCGGAGCCGCUCCGGCUCCCCGGCUCGGAGCCCGAGCGAGCGAGUGAGCGAGCGAGCGGCAGCGCUGGCCGUCGCCGCGCCUCGGGCCGAUCCGCAGACGCCGCYGACGCUGCCCCGGGCGGAGAUUUCCAGCGCCGCAUCUCUGGCGGUCGGAGCUGGAGACGUCGCAGUCCCGUGGACAUUUCCAAUGCCGGAUCGCUGGCAGUCGGAGCCGGAGAUGUCGCAGCCCGGUGGAGAUUUCCAGCGCUGGAUCACCAGCGGUCGGAGCCGGAGAGGUCACAGCCCCACGGAGAUUUCCAGCGCCACAUUGCCAGCAGUCAGAGCCAGAGACGUCGCGGCCCCAUGGAAAUUUCCAGUGCCAGAUUGCCGGCAGUCAGAGCCGGAGACGUCGUGGCCCUGUGGAGAUUUCCAGUGCCGGAUCUCCAGCAGUCGGAGCUGGAGACGCURCAGCCAGGCAGAGAUUUCCAUUGCCGGAUCUCCAGUGGUCGGAGCUGGAGACGCUGCAGCCUGGCAGAGAUUUCCAUCACCAGAUCUCCAGUGGUCGGAGCUGUAGAUGCUGCAGCCAGGCGGAGAUUUCCAUCACCAACGGUUGGAUCCAGAGACACCACAGUCCGGCAGAGAUUUCCAUCGCUGGUGGUCGGAGCCGGAGAUGCCACGGCUGGGCGGAGAUUUCCAUCGCUGGAUUGCCGACAGUUGGAGCUGGACACGCUGUGGCAGGACAGAGAUUUCCCUCUCCGGAUCACUGGUGGAUCUGGAGCAGCUCCACGUCGUGGUCAUGUUGGAAGGAGGUUGAUCUGCCUUGGGUGGAUCCGGAGUGAGUCUGAAUCCCUGGCCGGCAAUCGCAGGUUGAUCCRGAGACAGCAGGUCGGGUAGAUCCUCUAGCUCGGGUCACACGAGUGACAUUAGAUCCCGAAUCCAUCUGGAGACACUGGGUUGGGGGCAGAGCCUCCAUUUCCAACAGCAGAUCUGUUGCAAAUAAAUCUAUCUGGCUCGGGUGGAUCCA
Molecule: long non-coding RNA, 1211 nt
Filed under: Apteryx owenii (little spotted kiwi)
Lineage: Eukaryota; Metazoa; Chordata; Aves; Apterygiformes; Apterygidae
Description: lncRNA (ENSAOWG00000015027.1)
Source: RNAcentral